This 838-nucleotide ribosomal RNA is filed under the name uncultured bacterium. RNAcentral's name for it is "bacterial SSU rRNA". It matches the Rfam family "Bacterial small subunit ribosomal RNA", at positions 62 to 859 of the family's 1533-position model. The record is from RNAcentral.
UCGAGCGAGUCUGCCUUGAAGAUCGGAGUGCUUGCACUCUGUGAAACAAGAUACAGGCUAGCGGCGGACGGGUGAGUAACACGUGGGUAACCUGCCCAAGAGAUCGGGAUAACACCUGGAAACAGAUGCUAAUACCGGAUAACAACAGAUGAUGCCUAUCAACUGUUUAAAAGAUGGUUCUGCUAUCACUCUUGGAUGGACCUGCGGUGCAUUAGCUAGUUGGUAGGGUAACGGCCUACCAAGGCGAUGAUGCAUAGCCGAGUUGAGAGACUGAUCGGCCACAUUGGGACUGAGACACGGCCCAAACUCCUACGGGAGGCAGCAGUAGGGAAUCUUCCACAAUGGACGCAAGUCUGAUGGAGCAACGCCGCGUGAGUGAAGAAGGGCUUCGGCUCGUAAAGCUCUGUUGUUGGUGAAGAAGGACAGGGGUAGUAACUGACCUUUGUUUGACGGUAAUCAAUUAGAAAGUCACGGCUAACUACGUGCCAGCAGCCGCGGUAAUACGUAGGUGGCAAGCGUUGUCCGGAUUUAUUGGGCGUAAAGCGAGUGCAGGCGGCUCGAUAAGUCUGAUGUGAAAGCCUUCGGCUCAACCGGAGAAUUGCAUCAGAAACUGUCGAGCUUGAGUACAGAAGAGGAGAGUGGAACUCCAUGUGUAGCGGUGAAAUGCGUAGAUAUAUGGAAGAACACCGGUGGCGAAGGCGGCUCUCUGGUCUGUUACUGACGCUGAGGCUCGAAAGCAUGGGUAGCGAACAGGAUUAGAUACCCUGGUAGUCCAUGCCGUAAACGAUGAGUGCUAAGUGUUGGGAGGUUUCCGCCUCUCAGUGCUGCAGCUAACGCA